Long non-coding RNA from Mandrillus leucophaeus (drill), 432 nucleotides. RefSeq lists it as uncharacterized. NCBI's taxonomy places the organism in Eukaryota, Metazoa, Chordata, Mammalia, Primates, Cercopithecidae. The transcript is spliced from 2 exons. The record is from RefSeq and is a predicted model, not a curated record.
GCCGGAAGUUGUUCACCAUGUGGAUCCUCUCAUCGUCCUCUGAGAUGAGAAAAGCAAGACUCAGAGAAGAUGAGUGAUGGGCUCAAAGAUGUGCAGUGAGUGACUGAGCAAAGAUGAAAACCCAGGGCUGCUGGGUCCCUUAUUCAAUAUUGUCCAAAAUCACUGGAAAGGGAGGAAGUGGAUUUUAAAUUUGACUCUCAUUUGUGUGUAUAUGCAAGUCCCUCCAAAAGGACUUAAGAGAAGCUAGGGACAGUGUUUACCUACAGGGAGGAGACUGGAUGCCGGAAGGUUGUGGGAGGCUGUGGAAGGGUGUGGUAUGGCGUGGGAAGGGCACUCUUUACUGGUACUCCUUUGUAUCUUUUGAAUGAAUUAAAGCAUGUAUUACCUCUUUAACAACCAAAUAAAAGUUGAUUCAGUUCUUUCCUUCCUGCA